Molecule: ribosomal RNA, 465 nt
Filed under: Vreelandella stevensii
Lineage: Bacteria; Pseudomonadati; Pseudomonadota; Gammaproteobacteria; Oceanospirillales; Halomonadaceae
Description: partial 16S ribosomal RNA
Rfam family: Bacterial small subunit ribosomal RNA
Source: RNAcentral
CCUACGGGUGGCUGCAGUGGGGAAUAUUGGACAAUGGGCGAAAGCCUGAUCCAGCCAUGCCGCGUGUGUGAAGAAGGCCUUCGGGUUGUAAAGCACUUUCAGUGGGGAAGAAAGCCUUGGGGCUAAUACCCUCGAGGAAGGACAUCACCCACAGAAGAAGCACCGGCUAACUCCGUGCCAGCAGCCGCGGUAAUACGGAGGGUGCGAGCGUUAAUCGGAAUUACUGGGCGUAAAGCGCGCGUAGGCGGUCUGAUAAGCCGGUUGUGAAAGCCCCGGGCUCAACCUGGGAACGGCAUCCGGAACUGUCAGGCUAGAGUGCAGGAGAGGAAGAUAGAAUUCCCGGUGUAGCGGUGAAAUGCGUAGAGAUCGGGAGGAAUACCAGUGGCGAAGGCGGCCUUCUGGACUGACACUGACGCUGAGGUGCGAAAGCGUGGGUAGCAAACAGGAUUAGAUACCCUGGUAGUC